RNAcentral lists this ribosomal RNA (700 nucleotides) under Klebsiella quasivariicola. RNAcentral describes it as "partial 16S rRNA". The record is from RNAcentral. Lineage: Bacteria; Pseudomonadati; Pseudomonadota; Gammaproteobacteria; Enterobacterales; Enterobacteriaceae.
GUCCAGGGGGCCGCCUUCGCCACCGGUAUUCCUCCAGAUCUCUACGCAUUUCACCGCUACACCUGGAAUUCUACCCCCCUCUACAAGACUCUAGCCUGCCAGUUUCGAAUGCAGUUCCCAGGUUGAGCCCGGGGAUUUCACAUCCGACUUGACAGACCGCCUGCGUGCGCUUUACGCCCAGUAAUUCCGAUUAACGCUUGCACCCUCCGUAUUACCGCGGCUGCUGGCACGGAGUUAGCCGGUGCUUCUUCUGCGGGUAACGUCAAUCGAUGAGGUUAUUAACCUCACCGCCUUCCUCCCCGCUGAAAGUGCUUUACAACCCGAAGGCCUUCUUCACACACGCGGCAUGGCUGCAUCAGGCUUGCGCCCAUUGUGCAAUAUUCCCCACUGCUGCCUCCCGUAGGAGUCUGGACCGUGUCUCAGUUCCAGUGUGGCUGGUCAUCCUCUCAGACCAGCUAGGGAUCGUCGCCUAGGUGAGCCGUUACCCCACCUACUAGCUAAUCCCAUCUGGGCACAUCUGAUGGCAUGAGGCCCGAAGGUCCCCCACUUUGGUCUUGCGACGUUAUGCGGUAUUAGCUACCGUUUCCAGUAGUUAUCCCCCUCCAUCAGGCAGUUUCCCAGACAUUACUCACCCGUCCGCCGCUCGUCACCCGAGAGCAAGCUCUCUGUGCUACCGCUCGACUUGCAUGUGUUAGGCCUG